This 77-nucleotide transfer RNA is filed under the name Clostridiales bacterium. Its description in RNAcentral is "tRNA-Arg". It matches the Rfam family "tRNA". Rfam says of the family: Transfer RNA (tRNA) molecules are approximately 80 nucleotides in length. Their secondary structure includes four short double-helical elements and three loops (D, anti-codon, and T loops). Further hydrogen bonds mediate the characteristic L-shaped molecular structure. tRNAs have two regions of fundamental functional importance: the anti-codon, which is responsible for specific mRNA codon recognition, and the 3' end, to which the tRNAs corresponding amino acid is attached (by aminoacyl-tRNA synthetases). tRNAs cope with the degeneracy of the genetic code in two manners: having more than one tRNA (with a specific anti-codon) for a particular amino acid; and 'wobble' base-pairing, i.e. permitting non-standard base-pairing at the 3rd anti-codon position. The record is from RNAcentral. Lineage: Bacteria; Bacillati; Bacillota; Clostridia; Eubacteriales. RNAcentral also lists the same sequence under 1 other name.
GGGCGCAUAGCUCAGCUGGAUAGAGCAACGGCCUUCUAAGCCGUAGGUCGCAGGUUCGAAUCCUGCUGCGCUCGCCA